CCCUUAGAUGUUCUGGGCCGCACGCGCGCUACACUGACGGAGUCAACGAGUUGUCCUGCAUCGGAAGGUGUGGGUAAUCUUUUGAAACUUCGUCGUGCUGGGGAUAGAUCUUUGCAAUUUUCGAUCUUGAACGAGGAAUUCCUAGUAAGCGUGAUUCAUCAGAUCGCGUUGAUUACGUCCCUGCCCUUUGUACACACCGCCCGUCGCUACUACCGAUUGAAUGGUUUAGUGAGGCCUCGGGACUGGCGCGCUCGAGUAGCAAUACACCUGCGCGCCGGGAACUUUGUCAAACUUGAUCAUUUAGAGGAAGUAAAAGUCGUAACA
Molecule: ribosomal RNA, 324 nt
Filed under: uncultured eukaryote
Lineage: Eukaryota
Description: partial 18S ribosomal RNA
Rfam family: Eukaryotic small subunit ribosomal RNA
Source: RNAcentral